RNAcentral lists this ribosomal RNA (559 nucleotides) under uncultured bacterium. RNAcentral's name for it is "bacterial SSU rRNA". It matches the Rfam family "Bacterial small subunit ribosomal RNA", at positions 338 to 916 of the family's 1533-position model. The record is from RNAcentral.
CCUACGGGAGGCAGCAGUGGGGAAUAUUGGACAAUGGGGGCAACCCUGAUCCAGCCAUGCCGCGUGAGUGAUGAAGGCCUUCGGGUUGUAAAGCUCUUUUGGCGGGGACGAUGAUGACGGUACCCGCAGAAUAAGCCCCGGCUAACUUCGUGCCAGCAGCCGCGGUAAGACGAAGGGGGCUAGCGUUGUUCGGAAUUACUGGGCGUAAAGCGCGUGUAGGCGGUUUGCCAAGUCGGGUGUGAAAGCCUUGGGCUUAACCCAAGAAAUGCACUCGGUACUGGCAGACUAGAGGACCGGAGAGGAUAGUGGAAUUCCCAGUGUAGUGGUGAAAUACGUAGAGAUUGGGAAGAACACCAGUGGCGAAGGCGGCUAUCUGGACGGUUUCUGACGCUAAGACGCGAAAGCGUGGGGAGCAAACAGGAUUAGAUACCCUGGUAGUCCACGCCGUAAACGAUGGGUGCUAGACGUUGGCGAGCUUGCUCGUCAGUGUCGCAGCUAACGCGUUAAGCACCCCGCCUGGGGAGUACGGCCGCAAGGUUGAAACUCAAAUAAUUGACGG